GCCCGCCUGGCGAAAUGGCAUCGCGUCUGACUACGAAUCAGGAGAUUGCAGGUUCGACCCCUGCGGUGGUCA
This is a non-coding RNA of Trametes polyzona, 72 nucleotides long. Lineage: Eukaryota; Fungi; Basidiomycota; Agaricomycetes; Polyporales; Polyporaceae. The record is from the annotation of a GenBank genome assembly.